UGCAGUCGAGCGGCAGCGGGAAGUAGCUUGCUACUUUGCCGGCGAGCGGCGGACGGGUGAGUAAUGUCUGGGAAACUGCCUGAUGGAGGGGGAUAACUACUGGAAACGGUAGCUAAUACCGCAUGACCUCGCAAGAGCAAAGUGGGGGACCUUCGGGCCUCACGCCAUCGGAUGUGCCCAGAUGGGAUUAGCUAGUAGGUGAGGUAAUGGCUCACCUAGGCGACGAUCCCUAGCUGGUCUGAGAGGAUGACCAGCCACACUGGAACUGAGACACGGUCCAGACUCCUACGGGAGGCAGCAGUGGGGAAUAUUGCACAAUGGGCGCAAGCCUGAUGCAGCCAUGCCGCGUGUGUGAAGAAGGCCUUAGGGUUGUAAAGCACUUUCAGCGAGGAGGAAGGGUUCAGUGUUAAUAGCACUGAGCAUUGACGUUACUCGCAGAAGAAGCACCGGCUAACUCCGUGCCAGCAGCCGCGGUAAUACGGAGGGUGCAAGCGUUAAUCGGAAUUACUGGGCGUAAAGCGCACGCAGGCGGUUUGUUAAGUCAGAUGUGAAAUCCCCGAGCUUAACUUGGGAACUGCAUUUGAAACUGGCAAGCUAGAGUCUUGUAGAGGGGGGUAGAAUUCCAGGUGUAGCGGUGAAAUGCGUAGAGAUCUGGAGGAAUACCGGUGGCGAAGGCGGCCCCCUGGACAAAGACUGACGCUCA
RNAcentral lists this ribosomal RNA (703 nucleotides) under Rahnella sp. RNAcentral's name for it is "bacterial SSU rRNA". It matches the Rfam family "Bacterial small subunit ribosomal RNA", at positions 56 to 749 of the family's 1533-position model. The record is from RNAcentral. Lineage: Bacteria; Pseudomonadati; Pseudomonadota; Gammaproteobacteria; Enterobacterales; Yersiniaceae.